GAUGAACGCUAGCGGCAGGCCUAAUACAUGCAAGUCGAGCGGAAUAUAGUUUUCGGAUUAUAUUUAGUGGCGCACGGGUGAGUAACACGUACAUAACUUACCCUCAAGAGGGGGAUAGCCUUGGGAAACUGAGCGUAAUACCCCAUAGUAUUAUUGAACGGCAUCGUUUGAUAAUUAAAGCUACGGCGCUUGAGGAUAGAUGUGCGUCUGAUUAGCUAGUUGGUAAGGUAACGGCUUACCAAGGCGACGAUCAGUAGGGGGCGUGAGAGCGUGGCCCCCCCACACGGGUACUGAGACACGGACCCAACUCCUACGGGAGGCAGCAGUAAGGAAUAUUGGACAAUGGACGAAAGUCUGAUCCAGCCAUGCCGCGUGAAGGACGAAGGCGCUCAGCGUUGUAAACUUCUUUUGGAUGGGGACAAACCACUCGAUUUAUCGGGUGCUGAGGGUACCAUCAGAAUAAGCACCGGCUAACUCCGUG
Molecule: ribosomal RNA, 481 nt
Filed under: uncultured bacterium
Lineage: Bacteria
Description: bacterial SSU rRNA
Rfam family: Bacterial small subunit ribosomal RNA
Source: RNAcentral